Long non-coding RNA from Gossypium raimondii (Peruvian cotton), 328 nucleotides. RefSeq lists it as uncharacterized. The transcript has 3 exons. The record is from RefSeq and is a predicted model, not a curated record. Lineage: Eukaryota; Viridiplantae; Streptophyta; Magnoliopsida; Malvales; Malvaceae.
CGAAAUCAGCAAAGGGGAAGCCAUAUUUAGGGUUUUUAAGCUUUCAAGCUCCAUAAUCAAGAAAGACGUGAAGAGUAUAUCAAACGGGGAAAAGAAAAGAUAGUGGAGUAAAGUGCAAAAUUACGAUAUUUUGCACCGAGUGACUUCCAACAACUCGGAAAUUGGAACGAAGUCAGACAAUCAUCUACACUAUCCUUCACAUUUGGGGUAUUUUACUACUAGUGUUCCGAAAUUUUAUGGCAUGUAUAAACGACUUAUGUAAUGUGGGAUCAUCAUGUAAAUAUAUGUUAUGGUUCCCUUUUAAAUGUAGCGUUUAUUAAUACUUAAA